UGGGGAAUAUUGGACAAUGGACCGAGAGUCUGAUCCAGCAAUUCUGUGUGCACGAUGAAGUUUUUCGGAAUGUAAAGUGCUUUCAGUUGGGAAGAAAGAAAUGACGGUACCAACAGAAGAAGUGACGGCUAAAUACGUGCCAGCAGCCGCGGUAAUACGUAUGUCACGAGCGUUAUCCGGAUUUAUUGGGCGUAAAGCGCGUCUAGGUGGUUAUGUAAGUCUGAUGUGAAAAUGCAGGGCUCAACUCUGUAUUGCGUUGGAAACUGUAUAACUAGAGUACUGGAGAGGUAAGCGGAACUACAAGUGUAGAGGUGAAAUUCGUAGAUAUUUGUAGGAAUGCCGAUGGGGAAGCCAGCUUACUGGACAGAUACUGACGCUAAAGCGCGAAAGCGUGGGUAGCAAACAGG
Molecule: ribosomal RNA, 407 nt
Filed under: bacterium
Lineage: Bacteria
Also listed under: 1 other name
Description: partial 16S ribosomal RNA
Rfam family: Bacterial small subunit ribosomal RNA
Source: RNAcentral